GUAAAGCGUGCGCAGGCGGUUAUGUAAGACAGAUGUGAAAUCCCCGGGCUCAACCUGGGAACUGCAUUAGUGACUGCAUAGCUGGAGUACGGCAGAGGGGAUGGAAUUCCGCGUGUAGCAGUGAAAUGCGUAGAUAUGCGGAGGAACACCGAUGGCGAAGGCAAUCCCCUGGGCCUGUACUGACGCUCAUGCACGAAAGCGUGGGAGCAAACAGGAUUAGAUACCCUGGU
RNAcentral lists this ribosomal RNA (230 nucleotides) under uncultured bacterium. RNAcentral describes it as "partial 16S ribosomal RNA". It matches the Rfam family "Bacterial small subunit ribosomal RNA", at positions 560 to 791 of the family's 1533-position model. The record is from RNAcentral.